This 357-nucleotide ribosomal RNA is filed under the name Heterocranainae sp. MZSP 73132. RNAcentral's name for it is "partial large subunit ribosomal RNA". The stretch from base 211 to 357 matches the Rfam family "Bacterial large subunit ribosomal RNA", at positions 2473 to 2619 of the family's 2925-position model. The record is from RNAcentral. Lineage: Eukaryota; Metazoa; Arthropoda; Arachnida; Opiliones; Cranaidae.
UCUUUUUAUUGAGGACUGGAAUGAAGGAUAGAAUCUGAGAGGAAAGUUUUGUAUAAUAAAUUUGAAUUUUAAUUAAAAGUAAAAAUGCUUUUAUAAAUUUUUGGGACGAGAAGACCCUAGAAGCUUAAAAAUUGUAUAUUUUUUUAUUGGGGUAAUAUUUGAAGAAAUAAUUUUUGAGUAAGAAGGGAAAUAUUAAAUAGUUACUCUAGGGAUAACAGCGUAAUUUAAUUAGAGAGUUCUUAUUAAUAGUUAAGUUUGCGACCUCGAUGUUGAAUUAAAAGUUAAUUUUUAAUGAAGGAGUUAAAGGAUUUAGUCUGUUCGACUAUUAAAAUUUUACGUGAUCUGAGUUCAGACCGG